This 998-nucleotide ribosomal RNA is filed under the name Metridia okhotensis. RNAcentral describes it as "SSU rRNA". It matches the Rfam family "Eukaryotic small subunit ribosomal RNA", at positions 732 to 1754 of the family's 1831-position model. The record is from RNAcentral. Lineage: Eukaryota; Metazoa; Arthropoda; Copepoda; Calanoida; Metridinidae.
GUCUAGGGAUGCUGACAGGUUUACUUUGAAAAAAUUAGAGUGCUCAAAGCAGGCUAUUACGCUUGAAUAUUAGUGCAUGGAAUAAUAGAAUAGGAAGUUGUUUCUAUUUGGUGGUUUUCGGAAAUCGACUUAAUGAUUAAUAGGGACAGUCGGGGGCAUUUGUAUUCAAACGACAGAGGUGAAAUUCUUGGACCGUUUGAAGACAAACUACUGCGAAGGCAUUUGCCAAGAAUGUUUUCAUUAAUCAAGAACGAAAGUUAGAGGUUCGAAGGCGAUUAGAUACCGCCCUAGUUCUAACCAUAAACGAUGCCAGCUAGCGAUCUGAGGACGUUUUUUUUGUAGACUCCUCAGGAAGCUUCCGGGAAACCAAAGCGUGUGGGUUCCGGGGGAAGUAUGGUUGCAAAGCUGAAACUUAAAGGAAUUGACGGAAGGGCACCACCAGGAGUGGAGCCUGCGGCUUAAUUUGACUCAACACGGGAAAUCUCACCAGGCCCGGACACUGGAAGGAUUGACAGAUUGAGAGCUCUUUCUCGAUUCGGUGGGUGGUGGUGCAUGGCCGUUCUUAGUUGGUGGAGUGAUUUGUCUGGUUAAUUCCGAUAACGAACGAGACUCUGUCCUGCUAAAUAGUGUCAGCCUCUCUUUUGGGCUGACAAUUCUUCUUAGAGGGACUGGCGGCUCCUAGCCGCACGAGAUAGAGCAAUAACAGGUCUGUGAUGCCCUUAGAUGUUCUGGGCAGCACGCGCGCUACACUGAAUAGAUCAGCGUGUUCUCCCUUUCUGAGAAGAACGGGUAAACCGCUGAACCCUAUUCGUGGUAGGGAUCGGGGCUUGCAAUUAUUCCCCGUGAACCAGGAAUUCCCAGUAGGCGCGAGUCAUAAGCUCGCGUCGAUUACGUCCCUGCCCUUUGUACACACCGCCCGUCGCUACUACCGAUUGAACGUUUUAGUGAGGUCCACGGACUGUUUGCAGAGCGGAUUAUUCUGCCUUGCUGGCGGGAAG